Molecule: ribosomal RNA, 200 nt
Filed under: uncultured bacterium
Lineage: Bacteria
Description: partial 16S ribosomal RNA
Rfam family: Bacterial small subunit ribosomal RNA
Source: RNAcentral
GACUAACGCUGGCGGCGUGCCUAACACAUGCAAGUCGAGCGGGGUAGCAAUACCCAGCGCCAGACGGGUGAGUAACACGUGGUCAACCUUCCCGAUAGUGGGGGAUAACUAGCCGAAAGGUUAGCUAAUACCGCAUACGAUCUUCGAGUGGCAUCCCUUGAAGAUGAAAGGAGCAAUCCGCUUUCGGACGGGACCGCGUC